This 253-nucleotide ribosomal RNA is filed under the name uncultured bacterium. RNAcentral describes it as "partial 16S ribosomal RNA". It matches the Rfam family "Bacterial small subunit ribosomal RNA", at positions 524 to 776 of the family's 1533-position model. The record is from RNAcentral.
UACGGAGGGGGCCAGCGUUGUUCGGAAUCAUUGGGCGUAAAGGGCGCGUAGGCGGCCGAUCAAGUCCGACGUGAAAUUCCUCGGCUCAACCGAGGGCCUGCGUCGGAUACUGCUCGGCUUGAGUCCCGGAGAGGGUAGUGGAAUUCCCAGUGUAGCGGUGAAAUGCGUAGAUACUGGGAGGAACACCGGUGGCGAAGGCGGCUACCUGGACGGGUACUGACGCUGAGAAGCGAAAGCAUGGGGAGCGAACAGG